UCGGCGGACGGGUGAGUAACACGUGGGCAACCUGCCCUGUAACUGGGAUAACUUCGGGAAACCGAAGCUAAUACCGGAUAAUCAUAGAAGUUGCAUAGCUUCUAUGUAAAAGUUGGGUUUACCUAACACUACAGGAUGGGCCCGCGUCGCAUUAGCUAGUUGGUAAGGUAACGGCUUACCAAGGCCGACGAUGCGUAGCCGACCUGAGAGGGUGAUCGGCCACACUGGGACUGAGACACGGCCCAGACUCCUACGGGAGGCAGCAGUAGGGAAUCUUCCGCAAUGGACGAAAGUCUGACGGAGCAACGCCGCGUGAGCGAUGAAGGCCUUCGGGUCGUAAAGCUCUGUUGUUAGGGAAGAACAAGUGCUAUUCGAAUAGGGUGGCACCUUGCACGGUACCUAACGAGAAAGCCACGGCUACUACGUGCCAGCAGCCGCGGUAAUACGUAGGUGGCAAGCGUUGUCCGGAAUUAUUGGGCGUAAAGCGCGCGCAGGCGGUCUCUUAAGUCUGAUGUGAAAGCCCACGGCUCAACCGUGGAGGGUCAUUGGAAACUGGGAGACUUGAGUACAGAAGAGGAGAGUGGAAUUCCAUGUGUAGCGGUGAAAUGCGUACAUAUAUGGAGGAACACC
Molecule: ribosomal RNA, 630 nt
Filed under: uncultured bacterium
Lineage: Bacteria
Description: bacterial SSU rRNA
Rfam family: Bacterial small subunit ribosomal RNA
Source: RNAcentral